Molecule: ribosomal RNA, 253 nt
Filed under: uncultured bacterium
Lineage: Bacteria
Description: partial 16S ribosomal RNA
Rfam family: Bacterial small subunit ribosomal RNA
Source: RNAcentral
UACGUAGGGACCAAGCGUUGUUCGGAUUUACUGGGCGUAAAGGGCGCGUAGGCGGCGCGGUAAGUCACUUGUGAAAUCUCUGAGCUUAACUCAGAACGGCCAAGUGAUACUGCAGUGCUAGAGUGUGGAAGGGGCAAUCGGAAUUCUUGGUGUAGCGGUGAAAUGCGUAGAUAUCAAGAGGAACACCUGAGGUGAAGACGGGUUGCUGGGACAACACUGACGCUGAGGCGCGAAAGCCAGGGGAGCGAACAGG